RNAcentral lists this unclassified non-coding RNA (301 nucleotides) under air metagenome. RNAcentral's name for it is "partial contains small subunit ribosomal RNA, internal transcribed spacer 1, and 5.8S ribosomal RNA". The stretch from base 1 to 46 matches the Rfam family "Eukaryotic small subunit ribosomal RNA", at positions 1786 to 1831 of the family's 1831-position model. The record is from RNAcentral.
AAGUCGUAACAAGGUUUCCGUAGGUGAACCUGCGGAAGGAUCAUUAAAGAAGCUUUGAAGGCCCCAGGUUGUCGCUGGCUUUUUGCCCCUCCAAGAGGGGGGGAAAGGCAUGUGCACGCCCGCGGUCGACAAACUCCAUCCUUCACACCCCAGUGCACCUUCGCGUGGGGCCCCUCUUCUGCAAAGGAGAGGGCCCCGCGUUUUAUUUUACAUACCCUUCUGCAUGUCUUCGGAAUGUCCGUCGCCUGCGACGUUAAAGCAUAAAAUUAUACAACUUUCAACAACGGAUCUCUUGGCUCUC